AAAUCUGAAAUGAUGGAGGGAAUAAGGAAUGGUGUAGCAAUUGAGUGCAAUGAGUGGUGUUUGGAAUGAUUCAAAGGUGAAAGUGAAGUGAUGAUGCAAAGCAUGGGGAUAAAAUGGAGUGGUGUUGCAGCUAGGGAACAUGAAUGAUUGUGCACAUGGUAGAGAAAGGAAAGGGAGGUGGAAUGAUGCAACAAAUAAGUCAAUGGAGGGAAC
RNAcentral lists this long non-coding RNA (213 nucleotides) under Malus domestica (apple). RNAcentral's name for it is "long non-coding RNA (MDOM_LNC012395)". The record is from RNAcentral. Lineage: Eukaryota; Viridiplantae; Streptophyta; Magnoliopsida; Rosales; Rosaceae.